This 441-nucleotide ribosomal RNA is filed under the name uncultured bacterium. RNAcentral describes it as "bacterial SSU rRNA". It matches the Rfam family "Bacterial small subunit ribosomal RNA", at positions 958 to 1398 of the family's 1533-position model. The record is from RNAcentral.
AACGCGAAGAACCUUACCUGGGCUCGAAAUAUAGAGGACGAUAACAGAGAUGUUAUUUCCCGAAAGGGCUUUUAUAUAGGUGCUGCAUGGCUGUCGUCAGCUCGUGCCGUGAGGUGUUUGGUUAAGUCCAGCAACGAGCGCAACCCUUAUCGUUAGUUGCCAACAUGUAAUGGUGGGAACUCUAACGAGACUGCCUGGGUUAACCAGGAGGAAGGUGAGGAUGACGUCAAGUCCGCAUGGCCUUUAUGUCCAGGGCUACACACGUGCUACAAUGGUCGGUACAGAAGGCAGCGAAACCGCAAGGUGAAGCAAAUCCCACAAAACCGAUCUCAGUUCAGAUUGUAGUCUGCAACUCGACUACAUGAAGUUGGAAUUGCUAGUAAUGGCGUGUCAGCAACAACGCCGUGAAUACGUUCCCGGGCCUUGUACACACCGCUCGUC